UGUAUGGGUUGUGUGGAGAGCUGAGCUCCUAAAAAAGUGAUUUACUCAAACUCCUCAUCUCACCUCAUCUUUGAGUAGAAAAUCUCGUAAACCAGAGAUUGGAUCGAUUGUCUAUGAGAAUUCGAUCCCUGAGACUUGGACUUAUCACUAAUAAGCGAAGUCGAAAAGUUACAAAGACAAUGUGAAAAAGUUGAAAGUGUGUAUUAG
This 207-nucleotide long non-coding RNA is filed under the name Elaeis guineensis (African oil palm). Its description in RNAcentral is "long non-coding RNA (EGUI_LNC022077)". The record is from RNAcentral. Lineage: Eukaryota; Viridiplantae; Streptophyta; Magnoliopsida; Arecales; Arecaceae.